Mesocricetus auratus (golden hamster) is the source of this 564-nucleotide non-coding RNA. The record is from the annotation of a RefSeq genome assembly. Lineage: Eukaryota; Metazoa; Chordata; Mammalia; Rodentia; Cricetidae.
UGUUACUGAGAUAGCACAAUACCCUGGAAGCUGUAGGUGACCUGGUAGCCAUCACGAUCUACUCUGCAUCUUAACUUAAUUGGAAGAACAAUGAAGACAAUUGUUCCCACAUUAUUUCUGUUUCUAUGGCUGCAGCUGUAUGAAGUGAGCAUAGGAGAGCAGGUGGAGCAGCGUCCUUCCAUCCUGACAGUCCAGGAGGGAGCCAGCGCUGUCAUCAACUGCACUUACACAGACAGUGCCUCAUCCUACUUCCUUUGGUAUAAGCAAGGACCUGGAGAGCAUCCUAAGCUCAUUAUUGACAUUCGAUCAACUAUGGAGAGAAAGCAGGACCAAAGACUGAUAGUUUUACAGGACAAGAAAGCCAAACACUUCUCCCUGCACAUCACAGACACCCAGCCUGGGGACUCUGCCAUGUACUUCUGUGCUGCAAGUGCACACUGCUCCCCAGGCACCUGCAGUCUGUCCUCAAACCUGACAAAGGGCCUGGAGCCCCAUGCACAUCCUGUGUCACAGACCUUCCUGUGCAACAUUUGUCAGCUGUUAGUUGUGAAAAGUCAACUAUAG